AGCCUGCCCAAGGACCAUGUGUUUAACGGCCGCGGUAUCUUAACCGUGCGAAGGUAGCGUAAUCACUCGUCUUUUAAAUAAAGACCCGUAUGAACGGUAAAACGAGGGCUUAGCUGUCUCCUUUUUCAGGUCAAUGAAAUUGAUCUUCCCGUGCAAAAGCGGGAAUUAUAACAUAAGACGAGAAGACCCUGUGAAGCUUUAGACACCAAGACAGCCCCCGUCAAACCCUCCUAACAAAGAACUAAACAUCAAACCCUGUCUCAACGUCUUCGGUUGGGGUGACCGCGGAGAACCACUAAACCCCCGCAUGGAAUGGGGACACAACAUAUAAUUAUAUCCCCAAAGCCAAGAGCCUCCGCUCUAAUACACAGAAUUUCUGACCUUACAUGAUCCGGCAACGCCGAUCAAUGAACCAAGUUACUCCAGGGAUAACAGCGCCAUCCUCUUCCAGAGCCCCCAUCGACAAGAGGGUUUACGACCUCGAUGUUGGAUCAGGACAUCCUAAUGGUGCAGCCGCUAUUAAGGGUUCGUUUGUUCAACGAUUAAC
RNAcentral lists this ribosomal RNA (547 nucleotides) under Johnius amblycephalus (bearded croaker). Its description in RNAcentral is "partial large subunit ribosomal RNA". It matches the Rfam family "Bacterial large subunit ribosomal RNA", at positions 1902 to 2592 of the family's 2925-position model. Lineage: Eukaryota; Metazoa; Chordata; Actinopteri; Sciaenidae. The record is from RNAcentral.